Molecule: long non-coding RNA, 432 nt
Organism: Clupea harengus (Atlantic herring)
Lineage: Eukaryota; Metazoa; Chordata; Actinopteri; Clupeiformes; Clupeidae
Source: Ensembl
GGAAAAAAGAAAGGAAGAAGGAAAGAAGAGUGGAAGAAGGAAAGAAGAAAGGAAAGAAGAGUGGAAGAAGGGAAGAAGAAAAGGAAAGAAGAGUGAAGAAAGGAAAGAAGAGUGAAAGAAGGAAAGAAGUGGAAGAAGGAAAGAAAAAGAAAGAAGAGUGGAAGAAGGAAAGAAGAGUGGAAGAAGGAAAGAAGAAGAGUGGAAGAAGGAAAGAAUAAUAUUCCUAGUUAUACAGUUGAAUUGAGAGGGACAGAGAGAGAAGAGGAGCCUUGGAACCUUGGCGCAGGUGUCAGUGAAGCACAGGUGCAAGCCAGUUUAAUGACCCUAUUAUGAUGUCAUAAUGGCCCAAUGUAAGUCAAUGGGAAAAUUUGUAUUCGUUUUUAUUUAAUAUCUUAAAAAGUAUAAAGUUUAGAAAAAUGAAAAAUACAUAGC